AUACGUAGGUGGCAAGCGUUGUCCGGAUUUACUGGGCGUAAAGAGCGCGCAGGCGGUCUUGUAAGUCGAGUGUGAAAGCCCCUGGCUCAACCAGGGAGGGUCAUUCGAUACUGCUUGACUCGAAGGCAGGAGAGGGAAGUGGAAUUCCGGGUGUAGUGGUGAAAUGCGUAGAUAUCCGGAGGAACACCAGUGGCGAAGGCGACUUUCUGGCCUGUUCUUGACGCUGAGGCGCGAAAGCUAGGGGAGCAAACGGGAUUAGAUACCCCGGUAGUCCUAGCCGUAAACGAUGGACACUAGGUGUUGGUGGUAUCAACCCCGCCAGUGCCGUAGCUAACGCAUUAAGUGUCCCGCCUGGGGAGUACGGCCGCAAGGCUAA
Molecule: ribosomal RNA, 376 nt
Filed under: uncultured bacterium
Lineage: Bacteria
Description: bacterial SSU rRNA
Rfam family: Bacterial small subunit ribosomal RNA
Source: RNAcentral